This 106-nucleotide ribosomal RNA is filed under the name Sternotherus carinatus (Razorback musk turtle). Its description in RNAcentral is "partial 16S ribosomal RNA". Lineage: Eukaryota; Metazoa; Chordata; Testudines; Kinosternidae. The record is from RNAcentral.
GCAAAACUCCUAGCCCGAACAACAAAACAUCUCAACAAAUAAGACUUAUCCCACAAAACUUAAAACUAAAACAUUCUACCAUCCAAGUAUAGGUGAUAGAAAAGAU